AGUAGCUCAGUGGUGGAGCACUCGGCUGUUAACCGAUAGGUCGUAGGUUCGAAUCCUACCU
RNAcentral lists this transfer RNA (61 nucleotides) under human gut metagenome. It matches the Rfam family "tRNA", at positions 6 to 65 of the family's 71-position model. Rfam says of the family: Transfer RNA (tRNA) molecules are approximately 80 nucleotides in length. Their secondary structure includes four short double-helical elements and three loops (D, anti-codon, and T loops). The record is from RNAcentral. RNAcentral also lists the same sequence under 1 other name.